Long non-coding RNA from Aplysia californica (California sea hare), 1273 nucleotides. RefSeq lists it as uncharacterized. NCBI's taxonomy places the organism in Eukaryota, Metazoa, Mollusca, Gastropoda, Aplysiida, Aplysiidae. The record is from RefSeq and is a predicted model, not a curated record. The transcript has 3 exons.
GCAUGACGUUUGAAAAUCGUGCGCAUUCCUAGACUUGUUUUAAAUUUAGGCUGUGGCUUUAUCUAUCGAACUUUGUCGGAGGAGGAGUCGAUUCUCACCGUACGGGAAAGUCAAGGACUGUGUGUGUGUGUGUGUGUAUUUUAACACUUGUGUGAUUAGAGGAUUAUUAACAUUCACACAAGCUUGAGGAUCUUUUAAAACUUUACGCAAGAUCGUUUUUUUUAUAUUUCUUGUAUUUCUUCAGAGCCUUGGAUUUGGGUUUUUUGUUUUAUUGGACGGGAAAGUAUUGUUUUCGCUGUGACGCGAUCGCCCGACAGUGUUGGAGUUCUUUCGUGGAUUGUGGUUGAGUUAUAGAAGUGCUGUGGUUCAGAAUCAGAGGAUAUAUUAUUAUUACGAUUUUAGUGGAGAGUAUAUGGACUUGCUAGAAUUAAUACCCCUAGAUCUGGCCUACACAAGGUCAAGUGUCAAGAGGUGAAAAAAGAUUUGGACAAAAACUUCGAUAACGUCAGCGCUGCUGCGUUGGUCACUGCCUGAACACGACGCGUCUGCCUGCCGAAGAACGAGUGAAAAAGAGGAUAUUACUACACGACGUGCGGCAAUAGCAAAGUCCACGCCACGACUUUGGAAUAUUAUUAGAUCAUUUUUUAAAAAGGAAACGUCAAUCAAACGACUUCGUCAUAAUAAUCUUCAGCUUUGUGUGCUCUCCGUGAUGACAGUGGUAAUAUAUACAUCGUUUUGUCGCUGGGGACACGGACCACGAGACGGCUGAAGAGGGCGACGGAGGACCGAAAAAAACGAGAGGGAAAAAGGAGGUACGCCAAAGAAGACUAUCGAAAACGCGGAGAAGAGAAAAAAAAAGUGAAACGGGUAAGACGGAAGAGGAUAAGAAGGAGGAAAAGGUGGAGCUUACUUGGAAACAAGAGGCAAGAGAGAGAUACGGAUAGAGAGAAGAGGAGACACAGAAGGGAGAAGCAAAGAGAGUGAGAGAAAGAGAGAAAGAAAGAGAGAGAGAGAGGGGAGAUUUUACGGAAGACGUCGCCCGUCCAUCUGAGCACAGUGUAACAUGAAAACGUGCAGGCUGCGGUCGGGAAAGCUAGGAACUCCUGAACUCUGCUUUACGUCCAUUGUUCGGGCUCCGGGGACCGAGGGCGACAGCCCUGUGCCGAGCAGGAAACGGAAGCAGAUGGAAUAUUUGGACUCGCUAUAUUUGGACUAGAGACACCAAUUCCAAGUGUAAAAUCCGACGUGUCUUCCAGAUUCAGGUAAACUUUGA